AGCCUUUCAUUCUCUCAAAAUCCCCCACAUCCGACCAAGACGCCGGCGAGUUCACACGGUGGCUCCGCCGUAGCUCUGCCGUGUCGGAAAGUAAGAAAAAAGUUUUAAAUGCCCUUUUUUAAAACACAAGCCCAAUUUAUUUCUUUUCCCCUUUUUUAAAAAAACAAGAACGAAAAUGAAAUGAGGAAAAAAAUGAAACUUUGGCUCACUAUUUAUGGCCGAUUUCGGUGAUGGAGGGAGGACCUCCGACGACGUGGCCGCAGGACGUCUCAGGUGAGCCCUUCCUUUUUCUUUCUUUUUUUAUUUUUAUUAUUUAGUAUGUAAAAAAAAUGAAAAUAAAAUAAAAAAAGAAUCAAACAAGACAAUGAAAAUUUCACCUCUGAAAUCUGUUUUCUGUUUUCUUUUUUUCUUUAUUUAAUUCGUAAAAGAAGAGAAAAAAAUACAAAGAGGAAGUUUUGGCUUUUAUAGCCAAGUUACAACCUUUUCGUUUCUAUUUUUUUUUUGUUUUUUCUAGUUGUUUCUUCCGUGGUCUUGUAUUGAUUUCUCUCUACAGGUGUCAGAGGCGUGCAACGCCCGUGGAGGUGGCGGUGGUUGGCCUGUAGCUGCAAUGUCAGAGGUGGCAGAGGCUUGCGGCUAGGGUUAGGCAGUAGGCUAGGGUUUCAAUUUUUUUCUGAAAAGUUUUAAACAUUUUGGGCCAUUGGGCCUUCAUUUUUUUGGGUUGUAAUUUUAAUUAUUUUUGGGCUUGUAAUUUGUAACUGGACAUUUAAGAUUUGGACUUUUUGGUUUAUUUUUUGUUUUGGUUUUCUAGUGGGCCGAGCAAAUUUGUGCCUGAGCAAAAGGUAUUCAAGAAGGCAAGUAACAUAAUGGAUCCUAUUGGAACUUCUUAUUGGCUUUGCGUUCAGUGGUAUUUGUGGAGUUUUAUUGUGGUUACAGAAUUUGUGAAGUGUGAUUACUAGUAGUGAAGUAUGGUUGAA
Molecule: long non-coding RNA, 974 nt
Filed under: Gossypium raimondii (Peruvian cotton)
Lineage: Eukaryota; Viridiplantae; Streptophyta; Magnoliopsida; Malvales; Malvaceae
Description: long non-coding RNA (GRAI_LNC000984)
Source: RNAcentral